AUUGAACGCUGGCGGCAUGCCUUACACAUGCAAGUCGAACGGCAGCACGGGAGCAAUCCUGGUGGCGAGUGGCGAACGGGUGAGUAAUAUAUCGGAACGUGCCCAGUCGUGGGGGAUAACGUAGCGAAAGCUACGCUAAUACCGCAUACGAUCUACGGAUGAAAGCGGGGGAUCGCAAGACCUCGCGCGAUUGGAGCGGCCGAUAUCAGAUUAGCUAGUUGGUGGGGUAAAAGCUCACCAAGGCGACGAUCUGUAGCUGGUCUGAGAGGAUGAUCCGCCACACUGGGACUGAGACACGGCCCAGACUCCUACGGGAGGCAGCAGUGGGGAAUUUUGGACAAUGGGCGGAAGCCUGACCCAGCCAUGCCGCGUGAAGGAAGACGGCCUUAUGGGUUGUAAACUUCUUUACUAUGCGACUAACUAGAUUUACGAGAUAAUUCUAUAGAAUGUAGCAUAGCAAAAAGCACCGGCUAACUCCGU
RNAcentral lists this ribosomal RNA (480 nucleotides) under uncultured bacterium. RNAcentral describes it as "bacterial SSU rRNA". It matches the Rfam family "Bacterial small subunit ribosomal RNA", at positions 30 to 506 of the family's 1533-position model. The record is from RNAcentral.